This 442-nucleotide ribosomal RNA is filed under the name uncultured bacterium. RNAcentral describes it as "partial 16S ribosomal RNA". It matches the Rfam family "Bacterial small subunit ribosomal RNA", at positions 338 to 795 of the family's 1533-position model. The record is from RNAcentral.
CCUACGGGAGGCAGCAGUAGGGAAUCUUUCACAAUGGGCGAAAGCCUGAUGGAGCAACGCCGCGUGCAGGAUGAAGGCCUUCGGGUUGUAAACUGCUUUUAUAAGCGAGAAAUAUGAUGGUAACUUAUGAAUAAGGAUCGGCUAACUACGUGCCAGCAGCCGCGGUCAUACGUAGGAUCCGAGCAUUAUCCGGAGUGACUGGGUGUAAAGAGUUGCGUAGGUGGCAUAAUAAGUAGCUAGUGAAAUCUGGUGGCUCAACCAUUCAGACUAUUAGCUAAACUGUUAAGCUCGAGACCGUUAGGGGUAACUGGAAUUUCUAGUGUAGGAGUGAAAUCCGUAGAUAUUAGGAGGAACACCAGUGGCGUAGGCAGGUUGCUGGGACGGUUCUGACGCUAAGGCACGAAAGCGUAGGGAGCAAACGGGAUUAGAUACCCUUGUAGUC